Molecule: long non-coding RNA, 423 nt
Filed under: Mytilus galloprovincialis (Mediterranean mussel)
Lineage: Eukaryota; Metazoa; Mollusca; Bivalvia; Mytilida; Mytilidae
Source: RNAcentral
CUCAGUGAUGCUAGAGGCAAAAAAAAAAAAAAAAAAAAAUAGAAAAUCCAAAGCUUAUAGAAAAUGAAGAGCUUUUUAAUGAAUCCCAUAGUCAGGUAAGCAGUCAGAGCGUUACACGAGGGAGAAAAAUGUAAAUUAUGUAAAUAAAAAAAGUAAAAUCACAAAAAAAAAAAUGAACUCCGUGGAAAAUUCAAAACGGAAAGUUCCUAAUCAAAUGGUAAAAUCAAAUGAUAAAACACAUAAAACGAAUGGACAACAACUGUCCUAUUCCUGACUUGGUACAGGCAUUGUCAAAUGUAGAAAAAGGUUAGAUUGAACUGUUCUAAUUGAAAAUUUCAAAAUAAAUUCCCAAAUUUUGUAACAGCAACAUUUGAUAGCACAAAAUCCGUAUUUUCAUACCAAUACUGAAGCAUUGUUUACCGG